This 513-nucleotide long non-coding RNA is filed under the name Nicotiana benthamiana. RNAcentral's name for it is "long non-coding RNA (NBEN_LNC025005)". The record is from RNAcentral. Lineage: Eukaryota; Viridiplantae; Streptophyta; Magnoliopsida; Solanales; Solanaceae.
AAUGUUUGUCUGGUGUAGAAUCUGUGCCUGCUCACAAAUCUUUAUUUGAAACAGCCAAGCCUUUUAGUGGGGAGGUUAAAAAAGUGCAUGUUCCGGACUUGAAAACAUUAGUUGGUGAGGAAAGAGUUAAUUUGGUAGUUCAUUCAGGUGAUGAAAGAGAAAAAGUUAUUUCUGCCAGUGCAGAUAUUAACUCCUCUGUCAGUUUUAAUCCUAAACCUGUUGGCCAUAUUGCUGGAAGAGAAUUGUACUCUGAUCCUGUGAAAGGAAUUGACUCCAAGAAGAUUUCUCAGCCAGUUGAUCUUUGUUUGGAUCUGGAUAUACCACUUGAAUUAGAUGCACUGCAGGGUGUCAGCUUUAAUCCUAAACCUGUUGGCCAUAUUGCUGGAAGAGAAUUGUACUCUGAUCCUGUGAAAGGAAUUGACUCCAAGAAGAUUUCUCAGCCAGUUGAUCUUUGUUUGGAUCUGGAUAUACCACUUGAAUUAGAUGCACUGCAGGCGGGGAAGGAAUCUUUUC